ACUCCUACGGGAGGCAGCAGUAGGGAAUUUUCGUCAAUGGGCGCAAGCCUGAACGAGCAAUGCCGCGUGAGUGAAGAAGGAUUUCGGUCUGUAAAGCUCUGUUGUAAAGGAAGAACGUCUACUAGAGGGAAUGCUAGUAGAGUGACGGUACUUUACCAGAAAGCCACGGCUAACUACGUGCCAGCAGCCGCGGUAAU
RNAcentral lists this ribosomal RNA (197 nucleotides) under uncultured bacterium. Its description in RNAcentral is "partial 16S ribosomal RNA". It matches the Rfam family "Bacterial small subunit ribosomal RNA", at positions 335 to 524 of the family's 1533-position model. The record is from RNAcentral.